ACGCCGACGCGGCGCCUAUCUGCUCCGCCAGCCGCGCCCACUCCCCUCUGUGCCCCACCGGUGGAGGAAUGCAUGAAACAGAGGUCCCCGAUUGGAUCGAUCCGACCAAUGCUUGUAGAGUAGUGAUUGAUGUAUCUUCCUACUCAACUGUUGAGGAGGAUCGAUCCGUGUA
Long non-coding RNA from Panicum virgatum (switchgrass), 172 nucleotides. RefSeq lists it as uncharacterized. The record is from RefSeq and is a predicted model, not a curated record. Lineage: Eukaryota; Viridiplantae; Streptophyta; Magnoliopsida; Poales; Poaceae. The transcript is spliced from 2 exons.